CUUCGGUGAUGAUUCGAUGACGAGACGGAACAGGACCACACCUGGUUCUGAAGGUUACUGGUUCAGAACCAUGUUUUGUGGUUCUGCCUCGGUUCCUCAGACCAGGAGGUCUCUUGAAGCUGAAGACACAGAGGCAUUUUUCUGAGAAGG
Kryptolebias marmoratus (mangrove rivulus) is the source of this 150-nucleotide small nucleolar RNA. NCBI's taxonomy places the organism in Eukaryota, Metazoa, Chordata, Actinopteri, Cyprinodontiformes, Rivulidae. The record is from Ensembl.